Molecule: transfer RNA, 73 nt
Filed under: Desulfobulbus sp. Tol-SR
Lineage: Bacteria; Pseudomonadati; Thermodesulfobacteriota; Desulfobulbia; Desulfobulbales; Desulfobulbaceae
Rfam family: tRNA
About the family: Transfer RNA (tRNA) molecules are approximately 80 nucleotides in length.
Source: Rfam by way of RNAcentral
GCCCACGUAGCUCAGAUGGUAGAGCGCAUCCUUGGUAAGGAUGAGGUCACCGGUUCGAUUCCGGUCGUGGGCU